AUGUUUUUGGAAACAGUGAAUCAAAUGUGGAUGGGAAUAACUCUCCCUCACUUGCCUCCCGCACCCAGGCUUGCCUCGCCGUGGGAAUGCCCCAUCCUUGGAGAGGAGUGCCCCUUCUUGAAGGAGAGAGAGAGCAAUUUCUGGGGAGGAACUGGCUGUGAGUUCUCAGCAAGCAACACUCCCAGCAGCUGGGAAGAUGAAGACGAGUGUCUCAGCUCUGAGGUGAAGUCUGGGUGGCAAUCUUUAACAUGAACAAUAUGCAGUUAAGAACAACCUAGCUUGUGCUUGGAUGUACAAGAGCUUCAGGUGAUUUUGUUGUACCUUUUGGUAAGAACCACUGUUCUAGCCCUUCGGGUGACUCAUGGACCCAUGGAUGUUUGUGGGUGUUGUUUACUAUCUAUCAGAGGACAGCAUAUUGAGAGGAGACAGGUAGAUAUAGGUCAAAAUAGUUGAAAGUGGUUAAAAGUUAAAAUGCCAUGAAUAUUGUGUGCAGUUUGGAUAUUUUUUUUUUUUUACCCUACAAAUUAGGAAAUUUCUACAAUUUGACUGUGAGAAAAAUAUUUAAAUGUAACCCUAUAGAUUCCAGAUUUUAAGAAUUAAUCAGUUAAUUUUAUUAGUGGUAUUCCUACAUGUGGUAUAUUUAACAGCAUAUUACAUACAGAAAAAAUACACAGAUCCUAAGUGUACAGCUUGAUAAAUUUUCACUUAGUGAAUGAACCCGUGUAUCCAGCAUGCAGAUCAAGAAUGAGAACUUUACCUUAUCUGAGAAGUGUUCAUGUACCUCCUUGCAGUUUCCCCAGCUGCAGUGAAGAGUAACCUCUCUCCUGACCUCCUGCACCGUAGGUGAGUUUGCUCCCUCUUGAUGUUCAUGUACAUGGAUUAUACAGUGUGUAACUUUCACAAAUUUGUGUUCAACAUUAUGAAUGUGAGUCAAUCAUGUUGUUAUGCACAGUUUUAAUCCAUUCAUUCUCCACAAUAUAUUUUCUGUUCUACUAUAGAUGGACAUUUGAUUGUUUCGAAUUUGGGGAUAUUAUGAUUAGUGAGGCCACGGAC
This 1053-nucleotide long non-coding RNA is filed under the name Piliocolobus tephrosceles (Ugandan red Colobus). RNAcentral's name for it is "lncRNA (ENSPTEG00000000365.1)". Lineage: Eukaryota; Metazoa; Chordata; Mammalia; Primates; Cercopithecidae. The record is from RNAcentral.